Felis catus (domestic cat) is the source of this 1375-nucleotide long non-coding RNA. RefSeq lists it as uncharacterized. The record is from RefSeq and is a predicted model, not a curated record. NCBI's taxonomy places the organism in Eukaryota, Metazoa, Chordata, Mammalia, Carnivora, Felidae. The transcript is spliced from 2 exons.
UAUCCAGUAGAAAAAAAGAUAAUCUCUUCAGCAAAUGGUGUUGGAAAACUGGACAGUGACAUGCAGAACAAUGAACCUGGACCACUUUCUUACGCCAGUCACAUUCUCUUGAAGGGAUAGCCUUAUCAAGCUAUCAUUGCUGGCAUUGGUUAACAUCACUUAAUAUUUUGCUUGUGUAGUGCUUAUGAAGUACACUUCCUGAUAGUAUAAAUUCCAGUGUAGGUUUUUUAUUGAAGAGUGCUAAUUAAUGAAGUAAAAUUUUGUGUAGUGUAACUUGAUGCUCUUGAGUUAGUCUGGUCAUUUCUCAGCCCUCAGUCUAGAGAGAAUUACCAGACUUAAAUUAAUAAUCAAAUUUUAAAAUGUAACUCAAGUUGUGUUACCCUGCAGAAGACCAACUGGACAGACAAAUUUUCUUGGUGCUAUUUCUCUUAAACUACAUAAUUUUAAAAACAUUUCAUAUCUUCCAACUCUUUUUUGUUUUUUUAAAUAUAGCAGUCUAACUGUCAAUAGCAAAGGCAUAUCACUGGUUUAUGCAAGUAAGUCAGCUCCUGUAAUUGUGUUCAUUUAAAAUAAUUGAAUAAUUAUUUCCAAUAAGGAGUGUAAUUUCUGUUCCAUAACAAAUAUAAAUUGCAGCAAGUACCCAUUUAUGACUGUACAGUAUAAAGUUAAAAGAAUACCAGUGUGAAGAGAGUUAUGGCUCAUUCCAUGAUUCUUCUUUUUUAUUUCAAUAUAAUAAAUCAGAAUGUAUGAGCAGUAUGUGUUUGUUCCUGCCCUGAAUUAUGGGCAUCUCUGGGGACUAGAUAAGGAGGAUAGCUAACAUAAGUCUAGUUAUUAGUUUGAUUAACACUGAUAAAAUACUUUUAUGUUCAAUGUGUAUACAUUUUUUGAAUUGUGUUGAAAGAACAACAACAAAUAAGAUAUUUUUACUCAAAGUGAAAAGCGCCUAAACACCAACCAAGUUUUAUCACUAUGAAAGAAGGCAAGGUCUCAGGAGUAUCACUUUCUUCAUUUCUAAUGAUUUUGCUAGAUAUCUUUUAUAAUGGGAUAUUCACGUAUGGUGAUAUAAUUAUGUAUCAUUGAUGUGACAUUUCUUAACAAUUCUCUACAGUAAGGGAAUGUGAUUGGCAUUUAGAAGAAAGCAAUAGCAAAGAAUGGUCCAUAACACCAUGGAACUUACAUUUCUGAGGUAGAAACAGACUUAACCAGGUGAGAAACUUCAAGUGCCUACAGUAAUUUUAUUUGAGCCUUUACUAUCCUUUCAAAGCAGGUGCAAAAACCUAAAGAGCCAUGGUAUUCAUCACUCAGCAAGAUUUUUAUGUAUGUAACAUUGAAAGAAAGCUGCAAAUUUGAUUUGAGAUUACUUUUAAAAAUCCUA